Non-coding RNA from Schistosoma haematobium, 45 nucleotides. Lineage: Eukaryota; Metazoa; Platyhelminthes; Trematoda; Strigeidida; Schistosomatidae. The record is from Rfam.
ACCCAGCUGACGAGUCCCAAAUAGAACGAAGCGCAUGUACUGGAU